RNAcentral lists this ribosomal RNA (460 nucleotides) under uncultured bacterium. Its description in RNAcentral is "partial 16S ribosomal RNA". It matches the Rfam family "Bacterial small subunit ribosomal RNA", at positions 338 to 795 of the family's 1533-position model. The record is from RNAcentral.
CCUACGGGUGGCUGCAGUGAGGAAUAUUGGUCAAUGGGCGUAAGCCUGAACCAGCCAAGUCGCGUGAGGGAUGAAGGUUCUAUGGAUCGUAAACAUAUGUUAUAAGGGAAUAAAGUGUGGGACGUGUCCUAUUUUGUAUGUACCUUAUGAAUAAGGAUCGGCUAACGCCGUGCCAGCAGCCGCGGUAAUACGGAGGAUCCGAGCGUUAUCCGGAUUUAUGGGGUUUAAAGGGUGCGUAGGCGGCCUUUUACGUCAGCGGUGAAAGUCUGUGGCUCAACCAUAGAAGUGCCGUUGAAACUGGGGGGCUUGAGUAUGUUUGAGGCAGGCGGAAUGCGUGGUGUCGCGGUGAAAUGCUUAGAUAUCACGCAGAACCCCGAUUGCGAAGGCAGCCUGCCAAGCCAUGACUGACGCUGAUGCACGAAAGCGUGGGGAUCAAACAGGAUUAGAUACCCGUGUAGUC